CUGGCAGGGGUAAUUUUACAUCUAUAUAGCCUCUAGGACUAUAUAUGAUGUAGAUUUGCCAGCCAAGGCAGUGGCGGAUCCAGGGGAGGGGCACACAGGCCCGUGCCCCCCCUGUCAUUUCUAGCACUUUUUUUUCUCCCAAAGGUGAGCAGCAGCAACAACACGCUGCUUUCUCCAUCAGUAAUAUUAGAGCCGAGCCGCGGCACUAAACAGCAGAUCUAGAGCUCUCUAUUCAGUGUAAUAACAGGAGGUGACUGAGGGGGAGCUGUUGCGCACAUCCUAGUGCAGCAACGACCUGCUCCCCUGCUACUGUACUGCGGAGCAUCCUGUCUUCUCUGCCCCUACACUACAGUGGCAGUCUGGAGGAGCCUCUCAUAGCCACAGUCGGUGAUGUGUGGAGCAGUGACUGUGGCUGUGGAGAGGAGCCAGGCCCCCAUUACUUGGAACAGUCAUCCGGAAAGGAUUGGUCAUCGACUAGAAGACAAAAGACCCACUGCAUGGCAAGAAGGUUCAUAGAUGACCUGUUUAUCCUGUGCACAGGCACGGAGGAUUUGUUUGUACAUUUGAUGCAUGAAACUAAUUCCAGGAUGUCGACCAUUAAGUUCACAUACAAAGUUGGCCCUUCUUCUGUGAAUUAUUUUGAAUUAUUUGGAUGUUGAGGUCUCCAUUGUGGAUGGCGCCAUCAGGACAGGACAAACAUGGCUUACAUGAGAGUGCUGCCUGACACAGAUAACUCAGGGGAAUUGCAAGGCGGCAAAUGAGAUUCAUUAGUAUGUGGAUGGUCCCGGCACUGAUUCACCACACCCUUUCAUAUUUUCCAUAUACAAUGACUAUUGGUAAACUAGUCUGCACAAUAAGGUCUUGUGGGGUGUUCCUGGUAUGCAGUGGUUAGCACAUGCCAAAGGUGGUCCACUGAAGUGCCUACAAUGGACACGUGCAUUAUAAUUGGACCAUGGAGCAAUGGAAGAAGGUGGCCUGGGUGGCAAUCUUAUCAAGCUUAAAAGUCUCAUAAACCUUGUUAUCUGUUUCCACUUCCACGAAUAAACAAAGCACUUAGGGAGAGAGGAAAAUAACUUUCACCAAAUCUAUUGUUUUCUCUAUUCCUUUGGUCUUUACUGCUGUUGUUAUGUUUUGGAGAUAACAAGCAAACCGACAACAAAAUUCAGAAACUUUCAAUCUUCAUUGAUUCUGGCCACAAAGGUUUGUACAAAUAGAAGGCUGAACACACUGGGACCUGGCGCUCUUCUGCUCAGGGACUGCUGCGGACUGCUCCCUCCUGCAUUACAAUUCAGAAUCAGAAUGUAAUGUAAAUACUUCCCGGAAUGUGCAGGCCAACUUAUUGUGCAGCAGGUUGGGCCAUUGUGCUAGGCUUCCUCUCUUGUGUGGAGAUCAGUUUAGAAGUGGAUUAUCCAUAAAGCACAUGGAGAAAAUAUAAGCUGAUGAACCCACUUAGGUAGCUAAUGUACAAUGUUUGUUACCUUAAAACCAGAAGGAAAACCAUUAAACAUCCACAAACUAAGUCCUGUUGGUGCACUUCUCUUAUUAUUAAAAGACAGCAAACAUGCUGUACAUCGCCUCCCCCGCUGGUGCUUUUAGAUUGAUAAAGAAGAACGUCUGGGAGUAAGUGCUUGAAUGCACGGACAUCUCACCUAAUGUGUCUUUAGAAGCCUAGACACUAUGCUAUUAUGUAGGCAUGUUAUCUCUAUGGCUCUCUCUCUCUCUCUCUUUCUCUCUCUCUCUGUAAUUGCUUUGGAUAGUAUGUGUAGUAUGUAUUGAAACUCUCACUGUAUACAAUAAAUUCAUGCAUGGAAAUAUUAAUGAAUUAAUUUAAAUAUAUAUAUUUAAAUGGUAUCUUCCAUUAGAAUAUAUAUAACUGUUUACUGGUAUAAUGGGACUUACCCACAAGUAUUAAAAGACAUGCUUUUGCUAAGAAUAAUAAUAAUAAUAAUAAUAAUAAUAAUAUAUCUGAACGCUCUGGGGACAAUACAGUGCAGCCUCCAUCAACUCCCACAAGUGCUUGUUGCCACAGGAUGCCAGGCUGUUAGGUGCCGCGGUCCGCGGCGCCGCUCGGUCUGCUUCCGAGCGACGCUUACGGCCGCCGCACCUCCCUCCCUGCCCGCCCAGCGACUAGCAACGCCAGGACGCCGUGCGUACUGUAGCCGCCGGGUCCCUGGCAAUGCUAGGACGCCGGGCGUCCUCAGCCGCUGGGUCCAUAGCAACGGGGACGCCAUUGGCGGACCGCGUUCCCCGUUGCCAGAUAGGAUUGAUUAGUUGCUCGUGCAGCAGGGCAGCUGCACGGCAACUAGUAAUUAGGGUCUGGGGGCUGGUCUUGCUGCCCCUCCUGUCAUUGGCCAGCAGGGUCUUUUUAUGGGAGCCAGCACACUGCAGCCUCGCCGGUGAUAGCUUCCUGUAUGCUGUUCCUGCCUUGCAAUGUCUGUUCCUGGUCAGCUGUAUCUGGUCGAUCCUGCUCCCGGUGCUCCUGAGUUCUGGAGUUCUGAAGCCGGUCCUGGGAAUCCUUCCUGUCCAAGUGAACCUGUUGCGGUCAUCUGGGGUUUCUCGCUUGUUGGGGUUCUCUCCCGGUUUCGUGAGUAGCGGCUUCUGCCGCAUGUUGCGGCCUAGGCCGCUUAGUCCUUGUUUUACUUUUGUAUUGGUGGUUUUUGCGGAGGUUUCCGCUUUUCACUGUCCUCCUCGGAACUCAGCGGUGCCUUGUGGGGGAGUGGACAGUGGUAUCUUUUGUUGUUCUUUUCCUUUGGUGGCGUGCCGCACAUAUAUUUAGUUUUAGGGUAGUUAGUAGCCCCUAGCUUCUGUUUGCUUUAGUUAGAGGUCCCCUUGUUAUUAUCCUGUCUCGGUUCACGCCUUGUCUCACUCUAAGACCUGGGGGCAUCGGAGUUGGGCAGACCUAAUCCGCCCUUCAAACGCGGCUGCCGUGGGCCCAAGAAACUAUAGUCACUCAGGCGUGAACUGACCACACGGGUAAAACAACGGAGGUAGGGUGCUAGGGGCUAUUCCCGUACCAUCCCUUAUUUCAGCGUCACGUUCUGGUGCUCUGGACUCUCUACACAAACAUCUCUCCAGUUCUGAGCAUCAGGAACGUAACACAGGCGUGGUUGCACUGGAUAUGUGAUCUCAGUGGGGUAGAAGGCAGCAUCCUGGAUAAGGACCUUAUGGCAUGUCAGAUAGUGAAACCCUAGCCACAUGAACAGUCACAUAUUCACCAGUGAUACAGUAUAUACCAGGGGUAUGUAAUAACGAGUCCAUUCAGAAAAUAAAAAAAUGUAAAAAUAAGUUUAUCGUUUUCUACCAUAUUGUUAGACAAAUAAUCAUCAAAUAGUGGCUGCUAUCAAUGUUUGUCACCGCACGCAGAAUGUUUGUUCGUUUGUGUAAAGCACGAGACAGACGCUGCUCCGUGAUGUCGCAGAUCUUUGGGCCCACUACCACUCUUUUCUAGGAAAACUUCACUCACUUCGGGCACAUCAGAGAGCCAGCACCUAUUGCACUCAUCGGGAGAUUGGUGACUCCUGGGAUGUCCUGAUUUUUUUGAUGAUGUUUAUGUUCCACUGAAGGCUGUAUACUGUAAGUCCUGAGGUAACUUGAUGCAGCCAGUUAGACAUAACCUCCGGAUGCUAGAAGAUGUGUCCAGUGCCAUGGGAUUGCAGGCGGGCCCCCAUUGUGUCACCACAUAUGUGGUUGCCAUCAUGUAACUUCAGGUCACAUGAUCGGACCUCGGUUUAGACAAACACUGAUUGUUAUUAUUAGAUAGUUUGUUUCUACUAAAAAUUGUUAAAAAGUAUUAAAUCAUUAUUAAAACCUUAUUUUAAGAGUCUACAUAUAAAUAGAAGUGCUUCAUUUCAAAUGUGUUUUUUUUAACUUUAGGGCAAGGGGGUAGCAUGCCCCCCCCAAACAUGUCAGAGGCGCAGGCGCUGUGGAGAGGGAUCACUUACCACAGGAUCCCCGCGGAGACUCC
Long non-coding RNA from Pseudophryne corroboree (corroboree frog), 3964 nucleotides. RefSeq lists it as uncharacterized. The transcript has 7 exons. The record is from RefSeq and is a predicted model, not a curated record. Lineage: Eukaryota; Metazoa; Chordata; Amphibia; Anura; Myobatrachidae.